RNAcentral lists this ribosomal RNA (92 nucleotides) under Legionella longbeachae. Lineage: Bacteria; Pseudomonadati; Pseudomonadota; Gammaproteobacteria; Legionellales; Legionellaceae. The record is from RNAcentral.
UCCUGGCGACUAUAGCGGUUUGGAACCACCUGAAUCCAUCUCGAACUCAGAAGUGAAACGAACAUGCGCCAAUGAUAGUGUGAGGCUUCCUC